Caenorhabditis elegans is the source of this 141-nucleotide non-coding RNA. NCBI's taxonomy places the organism in Eukaryota, Metazoa, Nematoda, Chromadorea, Rhabditida, Rhabditidae. The record is from Ensembl.
AACCCGUGGGGGCAAAGUGGUCACACAAGUAAGAAACCGCGCCCCGUUUUCGUGUCUGUCGUGUGUCCCGCUAUCCGUCCGGCGGGUCUAGUCCGUCUUUCCUGCUCCUUAUUUGUGACGAAUUGUCAGAAGGAAGAAAAC